This 297-nucleotide ribosomal RNA is filed under the name uncultured bacterium. RNAcentral describes it as "partial 16S ribosomal RNA". It matches the Rfam family "Bacterial small subunit ribosomal RNA", at positions 30 to 327 of the family's 1533-position model. The record is from RNAcentral.
AUUGAACGCUGGGCGGCAUGCCUUACACAUGCAAGUCGAACGGUAACGCGGGGCAACCUGGCGACGAGUGGCGAACGGGUGAGUAAUAUAUCGGAACGUGCCCAGUAGUGGGGGAUAGCCCGGCGAAAGCCGGAUUAAUACCGCAUACGACCUACGGGUGAAAGGCGGGGGAUCGCAAGACCUCGCGCUAUUGGAGCGGCCGAUAUCAGAUUAGGUAGUUGGUGGGGUAAAGGCCUACCAAGCCUACGAUCUGUAGCUGGUCUGAGAGGACGACCAGCCACACUGGGACUGAGACAC